UGGUGGAUGCGCUGCAAGAUUUAUGGAUGAACAAUGUACCGUCUAAAGUGAACAUAUUUGGAUGGAGAUUGCUAUUAGCACGACUUCCCACCCGUAUGGCUUUGGUAAGAAAAGGAAUUAUCAAUAAUUCACGUGAGUUUUGUUGCGUGUUUUGCUUUAGAGAAGAAGAAAACAUAGAUCAUUUAUUUUUUAAUUGCUCUGUCUCAAUUUAAGUUUGGAAGAAAAUUUAUAAGUGGAUGGUUGUGGAUUUCAUCCCCUUUGAGGAAGGGUGGAAGCACUUCAUAUCUUUUGGUGAUUUGGUGAAGAGUAAGAGACUUGCUAAAACUCGUCAUGUCAUUUGGUUAGCAACUACUUGGAGCAUAUGACGUACUCGGAAUAAUAUUGUGUUUCGAGGAGAUGUGUUUAAUUUGGAUGCUUUGAUAGAUCAAAUUAUCUUUAUUUCUUGGUUUUGGUUUAUAGGUCGGUUGAGAGUUAAUACUN
Molecule: long non-coding RNA, 480 nt
Filed under: Trifolium pratense (red clover)
Lineage: Eukaryota; Viridiplantae; Streptophyta; Magnoliopsida; Fabales; Fabaceae
Description: long non-coding RNA (TPRA_LNC001254)
Source: RNAcentral